RNAcentral lists this unclassified non-coding RNA (406 nucleotides) under soil metagenome. RNAcentral describes it as "partial contains 5.8S ribosomal RNA, internal transcribed spacer 2, and large subunit ribosomal RNA". The stretch from base 1 to 121 matches the Rfam family "5.8S ribosomal RNA", at positions 35 to 154 of the family's 154-position model. The record is from RNAcentral.
GAUGAAGAACGUAGCGAAAUGCGAUAAGUAAUGUGAAUUGCAGAAUUCAGUGAAUCAUCGAAUCUUUGAGCGCACCUUGCGCCCUUUGGCCAUUCCGAAGGGCAUGCCUGUUUGAGUAUCAUGAACACCUCAACUCUUCAUGGUUUUCCAUGAUGAGCUUGGACUUUGGGGGUCUUGCUGGCCUGUGGGUCGGCUCCUCUCAAAUGAAUCAGCUUGCCGGUUUUUGGUGGGCAUCACAGGUGUGAUAACUAUCUACGCUUGUGGUUUUCCACCAGGGUAACCUUCAGCAGUGGAGGUUCACUGGAGCUUACAAAUGUCUCUCCUCUGUGAGGACAGCCCUUUGAAUGUUUGAUCUCAAAUCAGGUAGGACUACCCGCUGAACUUAAGCAUAUCAAUAAGCGGAGGA